RNAcentral lists this ribosomal RNA (1109 nucleotides) under Bacillus sp. (in: firmicutes). Its description in RNAcentral is "bacterial SSU rRNA". It matches the Rfam family "Bacterial small subunit ribosomal RNA", at positions 1 to 1146 of the family's 1533-position model. Lineage: Bacteria; Bacillati; Bacillota; Bacilli; Caryophanales; Bacillaceae. The record is from RNAcentral.
AACCAAGAGGAAAUUAAUUAAGGCGGGGCUAUACAUGCAAGUCGAGCGGACCUCUUCGGAGGUCAGCGGCGGACGGGUGAGUAACACGUGGGCAACCUGCCUGUAAGACUGGGAUAACUCCGGGAAACCGGAGCUAAUACCGGAUAACCUUUUGAACCGCAUGGUUCAAAAUUGAAAGACGGUUAUGCUGUCACUUACAGAUGGGCCCGCGGCGCAUUAGCUAGUUGGUGAGGUAAUGGCUCACCAAGGCGACGAUGCGUAGCCGACCUGAGAGGGUGAUCGGCCACACUGGGACUGAGACACGGCCCAGACUCCUACGGGAGGCAGCAGUAGGGAAUCUUCCGCAAUGGACGAAAGUCUGACGGAGCAACGCCGCGUGAGUGAUGAAGGUUUUCGGAUCGUAAAGCUCUGUUGUCAGGGAAGAACAAGUGCGGGAGUCACUGCCCGUGCCUUGACGGUACCUGACCAGAAAGCCACGGCUAACUACGUGCCAGCAGCCGCGGUAAUACGUAGGUGGCAAGCGUUGUCCGGAAUUAUUGGGCGUAAAGCGCGCGCAGGCGGUCUUUUAAGUCUGAUGUGAAAGCCCCCGGCUCAACCGGGGAGGGUCAUUGGAAACUGGAGGACUUGAGUGCAGAAGAGGAGAGUGGAAAUUCCACGUGUAGCGGUGAAAUGCGUAGAGAUGUGGAGGAACACCAGUGGCGAAAGCGACUCUCUGGUCUGUAACUGACGCUGAGGCGCGAAAGCGUGGGGAGCGAACAGGAUUAGAUACCCUGGUAGUCCACGCCGUAGACGAUGAGUGCUAAGUGUUAGAAGGGUUUCCGCCCUUUAGUGCUGCAGCUAACGCAUUAAGCACUCCGCCUGGGGGAGUACGUCGCAGACUGAAACUCAAAAGGAGUUGACUGGGGCCCGCAACAAGCGGUGGGAGCAUGGUGGUUAAUUCGAAGCAACGCGAAGAACAUACAGUCUGACAUCUCUGCACUCGAGAAUGGAGUUCCCGUCGGGGGACGAUGACAGGUGGGGCAUGCAUGUCGUCACCUCGUUCUGUGAAUGUCGGGUUAGUACGCACGAUGCUACCACGACUUAUGCAGCAUUCAGUUGGUACUCUAAGU